This 360-nucleotide ribosomal RNA is filed under the name Triticum aestivum (bread wheat). Its description in RNAcentral is "partial small subunit ribosomal RNA". Lineage: Eukaryota; Viridiplantae; Streptophyta; Magnoliopsida; Poales; Poaceae. The record is from RNAcentral.
AUGGAUGUGCUGCUCACAAGUACUUUGAUAGGCAUACGAGAAACCCUUGCAAGUCCAGUACAGACUGUAGCCCCAAAGGACCCAAAUGCUCCUUUAUCGGACAUGCUCAAGAAGAUUCCGUUGCCACCUGAUGAGAGGAUGUCGGUCGGGAUGCAUCUAUGCAAGCCAGAAUUUGCAGUCCAUCGAGGUUUUCUUGUCAGCAUGGGUCAAGAAUACCUGGAGCGUUGGGUGUAUACAUACUUAUCUGACAAUUAUCCCGCUGGCAAACGUGCCGACAAUGAUCUUGUUGGUAACCUUGGAAACAAUGAUACUGCUAGUAACCUUGGCGAUGAUCCUGCUGUUAACUCUAGCCCUUUCUGA